This 57-nucleotide transfer RNA is filed under the name Litoditis aff. marina PmII. RNAcentral's name for it is "tRNA-Cys". Lineage: Eukaryota; Metazoa; Nematoda; Chromadorea; Rhabditida; Rhabditidae. The record is from RNAcentral.
AAAAUCUUAGUAUAAAUUAGUAUAUUUAAUUGCAAAUUAAAAGGUAAAAAGGUUUUU